UACGGCGAGUGAAGCGGUAAAAGCUCAAAUUUGAAAUCUGGUACUUUCAGUGCCCGAGUUGUAAUUUGUAGAAUUUGUCUUUGAUUAGGUCCUUGUCUAUGUUCCUUGGAACAGGACGUCAUAGAGGGUGAGAAUCCCGUUUGGCGAGGAUACCUUUUCUUUGUAAGACUUUUUCGAAGAGUCGAGUUGUUUGGGAAUGCAGCUCAAAGUGGGUGGUAAAUUCCAUCUAAAGCUAAAUAUUGGCGAGAGACCGAUAGCGAACAAGUACAGUGAUGGAAAGAUGAAAAGAACUUUGAAAAGAGAGUGAAAAAGUACGUGAAAUUGUUGAAAGGGAAGGGCAUUUGAUCAGACAUGGUGUUUUUUUAAUGUGCAAGUCUCUCGUGGACAUGUGCCUCUGGAAAUUAACACUGGGCCAACAUCAGUUCUGGCGGCAGGAUAAAUCAUUAAGAAUGUAGCUACCUCGGUAGUGUUAUAGCUUUUUGGAAUACUGCCAGCUGGGAUUGAGGACUGCGCUUCGGCAAGGAUGUUGGCAUAAUGGUUAAAUGCCGCCCGUCUUG
Molecule: ribosomal RNA, 557 nt
Filed under: Hanseniaspora thailandica (nom. inval.)
Lineage: Eukaryota; Fungi; Ascomycota; Saccharomycetes; Saccharomycodales; Saccharomycodaceae
Description: eukaryotic LSU rRNA
Rfam family: Eukaryotic large subunit ribosomal RNA
Source: RNAcentral